UCUGGCCGUUUCCUUCCCUCCUUCCCCUAGACCAGUCUGAUGAAAACGCCGGCCUCUCCCCGGGCAGAUGGAUCUCGACACUCAAGCAGGGGACUUUGAAAAGUCUGAAUUCCUUAAUCCAGCAUAUUCAGAGCCCCCAGACACCUGCAGGACUGCCUACUGCCACAAAACUGCAGAGCGAAACCCGAAUCCCUCAGCACCCCCAGACCCCCAGGGACCGGACGGCCUGGCCUUCCCUCUCCUCCUUGCUCCCCGGAGGCCAGAGCCCUCGGGCCCCAUGCUGGCCCGACAGUGUCUCGCAGGCCACAGCUCUGUUUGGGGACCCCCUGAGCUCAUCUGAGGGCCAYGGCAGUGUCUCUGCCCGGCUUCUGGAACCUGCGUCACUUGUCUGAGGACUUCUGAGGCUGCCAGGAAGGAGGGUGGCCUCGCUGACAACGAAGCCCUCCAUGUACCAGCACCAGGGCCUUUGGGGGGUGACCGAGGGGAGCUGGUGUGUCCGUGCCCAGGGCCCUUGCCCUUCCAUGGAUAUCUGGGGGCUGGGUGCUCCAGGUACCCUCGGUGCCCGUGGGCUUGACGCACUCCCACCCUUGGUAGGCGGCCCCUCCCUCUCACCCCCCCACUCCCUACGGAGUCCCCCUCACCUCUAGGAAACCACUUGCCUGUAAAUCUUUGCCUGUGAACUUCUGGGGACCCGAAAGCAAGGUGAUGCCUUCCACCAUGUCUUGAUGCAGCAGGAAGGCCCUCACCAGAGGCAGUCUUUCCAUCUUGGACUUCCAGGCCUCCAGAACUGUGAGCCACACAGAUUUCUAUUCUUUACAAGCAUCCAAUCUGYGAYAUUCUAUUACAGCAGCACAAACUGKCACUGAGGGACGGACUUAUAAGACAUCCAUAAACAUGGAGCUACAAUAAGAAGUCAAGGGAAUCAUGUGCUGAGAAGAAAAUGGGAACUAACAUAAGUUGGACAGCUGCCGUGCGCUGGACACUGUCUUCACUCCUUUUGUGGUGGAAUGUGCUUCCAAAGAUACCUAUGACAGUAUCCYGUCCCACGUGCUCUGUGCAGUGUGUGUGACCACGUCACUUUCUCAUUAGGAGGAAGUGUGUAUUUCUCUUCCCCUUGAUUCUGGACUGACUGGGCUUUGACAGACAGGUCGCAUGCUCACGUCCAGCUGUGAGGGCUGUUCACUUGGACCAUCAGAGACCAUGUUGUGAGGAAGCCUGAGCUUCUCCCCAGGAGAGAGGCCACAGAGAGGAACCCCAAUGUGUCAGUCACAUGUACAGAAUUGGGCUGGACUGGAAAGUCCAGUCAGGAACUGAACUCCAAAGAGGCAUCUCCUGGACCACAACCUCCCAGGCCUGAAUCCCCAAGUCACAAAACUGUGAACAAACAAAUGGCUGCUUUUAUAAGCCAUUAUGUGUUGGGGUGGCUUGCUAGAUUGCAAUGGGAGACCCCAGGGAGUAUCCUCUCUGUAAGGUAGAGGCCCUCCUUUGAGGAGACCUUACCAUCUCUGUAAGGAGACAGGACUGGAGAGGUGACAUGACUAGUCCAUCCUCACAUGGGAAACCCAUGACAGAAGCAGGAUUCAAACUGGGCCUCUGUGACCUCGACCUCCUGCAGGGUCCUUGGGUCACAGUGCUCUCGAGAGCAGAGGAGGGGACCUGC
Molecule: long non-coding RNA, 1660 nt
Organism: Urocitellus parryii (Arctic ground squirrel)
Lineage: Eukaryota; Metazoa; Chordata; Mammalia; Rodentia; Sciuridae
Source: RefSeq, a predicted model, not a curated record